AUAGCAUAUAAGGAACAGAUUUGUGAUAGGAGUCUUUAAGCUUAGCACUCAUGUAUAGCUUAAAAGAAAUCUUAUGUUCCGAUGCUAAAUCAAACAUC
RNAcentral lists this small RNA (98 nucleotides) under Arabidopsis thaliana (thale cress). RNAcentral's name for it is "ATSL250150". Lineage: Eukaryota; Viridiplantae; Streptophyta; Magnoliopsida; Brassicales; Brassicaceae. The record is from RNAcentral.